UACGGGAGGCAGCAGUGGGGAAUAUUGCACAAUGGGCGCAAGCCUGAUGCAGCCAUGCCGCGUGUAUGAAGAAGGCCUUCGGGUUGUAAAGUACUUUCAGUCGUGAGGAAGGUGUUAAGGUUAAUAACCUUAGCAAUUGACGUUAGCGACAGAAGAAGCACCGGCUAACUCCGUGCCGGCAGCCGCGGUAAUACGGAGGGUGCGAGCGUUAAUCGGAAUUACUGGGCGUAAAGGGCACGCAGGCGGUUAAUUAAGUUGGAUGUGAAAUCCCCGGGCUUAACCUGGGAAUGGCAUUCAAGACUGGUUAGCUAGAGUCUUGUAGAGGGGGUAGAAUUCCAUGUGUAGCGGUGAAAUGCGUAGAGAUGUGGAGGAAUACCGGUGGCGAAGGCGGCCCCUGGACAAAGACUGACGCUCAUGUGCGAAAGCGUGGGGAGCAAACAGGGAUUAGAUACCCGU
RNAcentral lists this ribosomal RNA (456 nucleotides) under uncultured bacterium. RNAcentral's name for it is "bacterial SSU rRNA". It matches the Rfam family "Bacterial small subunit ribosomal RNA", at positions 340 to 789 of the family's 1533-position model. The record is from RNAcentral.